RNAcentral lists this transfer RNA (73 nucleotides) under Streptococcus pneumoniae GA41277. RNAcentral describes it as "tRNA-Asp". It matches the Rfam family "tRNA". From Rfam's summary of the family: Transfer RNA (tRNA) molecules are approximately 80 nucleotides in length. Their secondary structure includes four short double-helical elements and three loops (D, anti-codon, and T loops). Lineage: Bacteria; Bacillati; Bacillota; Bacilli; Lactobacillales; Streptococcaceae. The record is from RNAcentral. RNAcentral also lists the same sequence under 1 other name.
GGUCCAGUAGUGUAGCGGUUAUCACGUCGCCCUGUCACGGCGAAGAUCGCGGGUUCGAUUCCCGUCGGGACCG